Molecule: long non-coding RNA, 1222 nt
Organism: Cydia fagiglandana
Lineage: Eukaryota; Metazoa; Arthropoda; Insecta; Lepidoptera; Tortricidae
Exons: 2
Source: RefSeq, a predicted model, not a curated record
UCAUCCUCGAGGGUCGGGAGCAGAGCUACCCCCCCUCCACCCUCCCAGCACAUAUCGUUCUUAGUCUACAUCGCGAACGGUCCAGAACGCAAAAUGCCUACAUCAUUUUCCGUCGUUUUAUCUUUACGUUAGCGAUGUCGACGAGUAUUCUGUGCGGUUUGGCCUCCGACCAUUUGAAGAUAACUAACGAACCUAACCUACCUGUAUGAUUUAAAAAAGUGGUCAUUUCGCGAUGUAGACUAAAAGCGAUAUAAGCAAAAUAUUACACUAGUCAUUUUGCGUUCUGGACCGUUCGCGACUAUACCGGAGAGUGGGGGGUAACGAGGCGGCCGUGAGUGGGGUGUCAGGUACAGUGCUAAAGGUUGAAUACCAUUACAAUAUAUGGGACAAAUGUAUCUAUUCUAAACAAGUGGUUUUACUACAGUGUAGGGAGGGCAUUUUCGUAGGGUGAUUCUGAGUUUACGAGUUAGCCGAACUCUAAGUUAAAGACGACCUCAACUAAUAAGUUAAUUGAUAAGUAAUUAAGUUAAUAAAUGGCGCCAGCCUUUCAUUCUUUAUUUGUAUAAUAUACGGUUAAGUUUGUUAUUUAUAAGCUUUAAUUUAGUUUGUUUUCAAGCAAUACCAUGUAACAAAUACCUAAAUCACAUUAUGAUCUCAUACUUAUAUUAAUUGAAUGCAUUCGUUUUUUUUACUAUGUUUUUAGUUAAUUAUGACUACCCGUAUUUGUUUAACCUUUUCGACGCCGUGUCAAACACAAGCUGUCACGCGGACGCCACGUCACCGAAGUGUCAAAACUGAAAUUGAACUUUAUGCAUAUGCACGUAGGUCUAUGUUGCUCUGUGGUAUGUGACCGAUUAAUCAGUCUUUGGCGUUGAACCUGCGGUGCGGAUAUAUCGGUCAUUGGUUGGCGUCCAAAAGGUUAAACAUAUAUAGUGAACAAUGUUUUGUUACACCCUUCAAGGCCGAGUUCAAGGGUCCAUUAUGUAACCUAUAUGUAACAUACUGGUUUGCAAAUAAAUAUCUUAUCUUUGUAGGUAUAAUACAAAAAUACUAGAACUCAUUAUUUUAAGUACUUCAUACUUACAUAGGUAUGACUACAUGACCAGAAUGUUUACAAAGUCUUAAACAAACAGUUGUUUAUUAUGUCACCGAGUUAGCGUGUAAUUUGUAGCAAUUUCUAGUGUUAUAUUCUAGUCAUUUGAAAUAAACAUUUUUUUCUACA